This 289-nucleotide small RNA is filed under the name Pan troglodytes (chimpanzee). Its description in RNAcentral is "sense intronic". Lineage: Eukaryota; Metazoa; Chordata; Mammalia; Primates; Hominidae. The record is from RNAcentral.
UUUGAGGACUGGGAACUGGGAGCUUUUGUUUUACAAACUUGAAUACCACUUUUUUUUUUUUUUCCUUUUCCUUAUCCACCUUUGCCACCACCCCCCAUGACUUUAAAAUGCUUUUUUUUUUUUUUUUUUUUGGAGACAGAGUUGCUCUGUCGCACAGGCUGGAAUUGGGCCAUUGCACUCCAGCCUUGGUAACAAGAGCGAGACUCUGUCUCAAAAAAAAAAAAAAUUGAUGAACAGAGAUAAAUCCAGAAAUGUAUGCUGAUUAUUAGGACAGAAGCAAUACAGCAGC